Long non-coding RNA from Lutra lutra (Eurasian river otter), 605 nucleotides. RefSeq lists it as uncharacterized. NCBI's taxonomy places the organism in Eukaryota, Metazoa, Chordata, Mammalia, Carnivora, Mustelidae. The transcript is spliced from 3 exons. The record is from RefSeq and is a predicted model, not a curated record.
AAAUAAAUAAACGGACGGCAGGACUAACAGCAGGCAUCAAAUGCCACACCCGAGAGACCCAUGACCCUUUUGGAGGUGAAUGGGGCUGAAGGGGAAAAGAGGGAAUCCACAGAUCCCCACUGAAGGAAAAUCUCGAGUCUAGGGCAAAGAAAAAUGCUGAGAAGGAAAGGAAAGGAGAGGAAACAGAAAUGGCCUGUCCUCAUGCUCAGGAAACCGAGGCGCACCCUCCUUGGCUUUUUCCCCCUUCUAAUGUGAAACUACCCCACCUGACUGUGUACCUGCCACGUCCUGGUCCAAAUGUGCACCAAGGAAGUGAUCGCUCCCUGCCCGUCUGCUUGUGACAUCGAACACUUAGGCUCUGACCGCUAAAACUGGGUAUGUGUUGCCCAGCUCAAGCCCCUAUUUUACUGCAGACAAGGGUCUUUGCUCCAAGGACAGCAGUUAGGUGCCCGAGGCCACACAGCUAAUUAGUGGCAGAGCUGAAACCAGAUGGAUGCUUCUUGACAUCCGGUCCGAUCUUCGCCCACCACACUUGGGAUGGCAAUAAACAAAUGCGUGUCUGCGUACACAUGCUUUAUGCUUCUAGAGAUUCUCUCCUGUCUCCA